This 372-nucleotide ribosomal RNA is filed under the name Triticum aestivum (bread wheat). RNAcentral describes it as "partial small subunit ribosomal RNA". Lineage: Eukaryota; Viridiplantae; Streptophyta; Magnoliopsida; Poales; Poaceae. The record is from RNAcentral.
AUGAGGAACUGGAGGAUUAUCGUAGCAGUUUGUUUGCUGCUUCCUGUUCUAGCCGCUGGCUACCAUAGGUUUUCGACUGUAGAAGAGGCCAACGCAGCGCUGCGGCGCGACCAUAUCGCCACCGGCAUCGGCCAUACGCUGGAGCAAAUGCAGCGGGGCCAGGGGAAUCUUGGAUUUAGCUCAUACUUUGGUUUUGUUUUUGCUUUCUACUCCAUGUCGGUCCUGGUCGUGGCUGGAGUGUGGGAUCACUUAACAGCAUUGUUUGGAGCAGUUGACGGCGAAUAUAUACUUGCAUUUACCACGAUGCUUGUUAUCUCCGGUUUUAUCGUGGCGACCAGCAUCCGCUUCAUGUUACAUAGUCUAGCACCAUGA